AAAGCAUGUAGGUUUUUCAGUUUUGACAUCUUUUGCUUUUACAAAAAAGUUCUUUAGAUAUUUUUGUUGUUUGCUAGUUUUGUAUCCUAAUCCGGCUUUAUUAAAAACAGCUCUUUGAUUGGAUAGAAUAAGAUUUAAUUUUUCCGAGCUAUAUGUAAAUUUCUGCACAAUUGGUUUAUACAUGUGUAGCUCAUCCUUAAGGUCCAAAUUUUCUUUAGCUAAUUCUUCCUUAUCAUUUUUAAGGGAUUCGACAUUUUGUGCAAGUGAAGUAUUACUAUUGAGUAGGAAUUUGACUCUUAGAUUUAAUUCC
This 310-nucleotide long non-coding RNA is filed under the name Phoenix dactylifera (date palm). Its description in RNAcentral is "long non-coding RNA (PDAC_LNC019656)". The record is from RNAcentral. Lineage: Eukaryota; Viridiplantae; Streptophyta; Magnoliopsida; Arecales; Arecaceae.